Molecule: long non-coding RNA, 738 nt
Filed under: Pongo abelii (Sumatran orangutan)
Lineage: Eukaryota; Metazoa; Chordata; Mammalia; Primates; Hominidae
Description: lincRNA
Source: RNAcentral
UAGUGUCAUAAUACACCAUGAGGUGGUUGGGUCCCGUUUCCAGAACAACCAGAGUGAUGUCUGAGCAAUGCUCUCUGAACAAGGCCUUCGUGUCUGCUCCCCAAGGGGGCUGCUACGUUCUUAGCUUCCCUCAAUGUAAUUCUUUUAUGAUAAAAAGAAGGGUGAACAGAAAAUGUUCAGAGCAAUCAUCCUCUGAAAAUUCAUAUAAAUGACAGCAGAAAUGUAAGAAGGAGAUUGGAUUUCAAUCCUCUUGGAAACAAUUGAUUUGGAAGUGGUCUGUGGUCUAAAGAGUUUGACAAAAUUUUAGGAGCAAGCAAAGAUGAUACAAAUAUAUAAAGGGACAGAACAGAAGGGAGAUAGCCACAUUUCAGAAAACAUGGAGAAAUUAUAUAAGUGAUUCUUCCCGAGAAAUUCUUCAGAAAUGUCCAAAGAAAAAAUUAUGUACUUAGAAAUCUAACUGUGCGACGACUGCAAAAUCCUCCUUUAUCUUCCUCUCCCUGACAUGCAUGCAAACACACACACACACACACACACACACACACACACACACCCUGAGAUUUGCAUCAUUUGUCUUUAGGCUAAAAUAAGGGAAAACAUUUCAAAAUGAUUUACCGAUUUUUUUAAAUGACGGGCACAGUAACCACAAUUAAGUCUUCCGUAUUUGGCAUUGGAAUGAAGGUAACGAGAUCAAACCCUUCUAUUUACUUCUCCUUACUCAUCCAAAGAUGCAGUCAACCA